AGCUGUGUUUGUCAUUUUAUUACCACAUGUAUGGUAAGUCCAUAGGGACAUUGGAGGUGAUAGUCUCUUUUUCGGGAACAAAUCAGACCAUCUUUACAAAGUCAGGUGAUCAUGGCAACCAAUGGUAUUAUAAGAAGCUGUACAUUCAGCCUGCAAGUAAUUUACAGAUUAUGUUUAACGGUAUUGAUGGAGACGAAUUCCAAGGCGACAUCGCAUUAGACAACAUUAUGUUGUUCACUGGUGAAUGUGGAGCACAAACCAACGAGGAAAGUACACUAACACAUCCGCCUUAACACGGAUGAUGACAGCAUUGGAUGGAAAUCAGAAAGAUUUAAUGUGAUGCAAAACAUGAACAAUUGUACUGAAAACAAUAACACUAAUAUUACUAUAUCUUAGUUACAACACAAAAUCUUAUUUCGUUAAUUAUAUAUUUAUCAUAAUAUAUUUUCAAAUUACUCAUACCCCGGUUUAAUGAAAAACGGCAGCUAUUCAAAAAAAACAUUUUGUGGUCGUCUGUCACACUUUACAUCUGUUCUCCUCCAAGACCAGACACAGUUUCAUAUGUCGCUAUUAAUGUUAAGUCCCUUUUGGUCAUAUAGCUCCUCAUGUGAUUUAUAGAUUAACUUGUCCUUUUCCAUAUCGGCCGAUGUAUCAUUCCAAGACUCCCAUAUUAGCCCAUGGCGCUAGUCGAGGGCUCAUAUGGGUCGAGGGAUGAUACCAGGGUCCAUAUGGAAAAGAAAAUUUUAUCAUCUAUUUAUCACAUAUUAUACAAAUGGUUUUAAAACCUGGCAGUAAUAUGACUAGGGCAAAUAUGUGCUUAUUUUAUAUGCAAAACCCAAUAUCUUUGUUAUAAGUAUGGGAUAAUAUCGGAUUAUUACAUGGCAUUUUUCAUAUCAGAUGUAUUAAUAUCAGCCCAAGGUUAAAUAUCAGCCCAAGAGCCGAAAUCUCGAGGGCUGAUAUUGACCGAGGGCUGAUAAUAUAUCUGAUAUGAAAAAUGACAUGUUAUGAUCUUUUUAUUAUAUGCUUCAACCAUGGAGGAAAAAUAGUAGUUUAAUAUAUUGAUCAUUUUAAGUGGUUCCCAAGUAGAAGUUCAAAAAGAGAAAGUUUACGGACCUCGGACACGAAAUGUAGAACAUCCGCUAUGAAAUCUGUCUGUCAUAUGCCUCAACAGAGGAGAAAAACAACAGUAUGAUAUAUUUUUAUAUUGACGAUAAAAAAAUCAACAAAACAUAAUGAACACUGUUUGGAAAAGUCAACAUUUGUAAAGUAACUUUCUAAAUAAUGCUGGAAACUUUGAAAAAAAUAUUUAUUGUAUCAUUUGUUUUUUUGUUUUUUUGUUUGGUUUUUUUUUUGCAUUUUACAUAAUGUUUUUUCCUGUUUCCUAAUAAUUGUUUUGUACCCUACUUUGUAUUUUUUUUUUUUUUUUUCACUGAAAACGUACCAUAGAGGUGUAUUUUCCGGAAUUUGCCGAGUAACGCCGGAAUGCUAUGCGAUAACGUUACGGAAAUGCAUGUGAUAAUAGUCGGAAGCAUGUGAUACAUUUUUCAUAUCAGCCCGCUAAACACCAUUUCGGAAAACACGGAAUUCACGUAAAUUUAAUGCCAUUAUCAUACUGUAAACUGUAUAAGUUUUCUACUCUAAGUAUAUCAUAAAUAUAGAUUAUAACAUGACAUUUUUAAUUUCAGACCCCUUAUCAGCCCUAGGUUAAUGAUAUCAGCCCGAGCGCCGACAGGCUCGAGGGAUGAUUUUGACCAUGGGCUGAUAAGGGGUCCGAUAUGAAAAAUGACAUGUUAUGUUCUUUUUAUCAUAUACUUAAGCAGAAGACAUACAGACAAGAACUUUUUUUUAAACUUUGAAAAAUGCAUUUACUGUAUUAUUUGUUUUGCAUUUUUUAAUAAUAAACUUUCCUGUUUCUUAA
Mytilus californianus (California mussel) is the source of this 1918-nucleotide long non-coding RNA. RefSeq lists it as uncharacterized. The transcript has 3 exons. The record is from RefSeq and is a predicted model, not a curated record. NCBI's taxonomy places the organism in Eukaryota, Metazoa, Mollusca, Bivalvia, Mytilida, Mytilidae.